RNAcentral lists this ribosomal RNA (425 nucleotides) under uncultured bacterium. RNAcentral describes it as "partial 16S ribosomal RNA". It matches the Rfam family "Bacterial small subunit ribosomal RNA", at positions 354 to 796 of the family's 1533-position model. The record is from RNAcentral.
GUGGGGAAUCUUGCGCAAUGGGCGAAAGCCUGACGCAGCCAUGCCGCGUGAAUGAUGAAGGUCUUAGGAUUGUAAAAUUCUUUCACCGGGGACGAUAAUGACGGUACCCGGAGAAGAAGCUCCGGCUAACUUCGUGCCAGCAGCCGCGGUAAUACGAAGGGGGCUAGCGUUGCUCGGAAUUACUGGGCGUAAAGGGCGCGUAGGUGGACAGCUUAGUCAGAGGUGAAAGCCCAGGGCUCAACCUUGGAAUUGCCUUUGAUACUGGCUGUCUUGAGUUUGGGAGAGGUGAGUGGAACUCCGAGUGUAGAGGUGAAAUUCGUAGAUAUUCGGAAGAACACCAGUGGCGAAGGCGACUCACUGGCCCAAUACUGACGCUGAGGCGCGAAAGCGUGGGGAGCAAACAGGAUUAGAAACCCCGGUAGUCC